Molecule: unclassified non-coding RNA, 148 nt
Organism: Macaca fascicularis (crab-eating macaque)
Lineage: Eukaryota; Metazoa; Chordata; Mammalia; Primates; Cercopithecidae
Rfam family: Metazoan signal recognition particle RNA
About the family: The signal recognition particle (SRP) is a universally conserved ribonucleoprotein. It is involved in the co-translational targeting of proteins to membranes. The eukaryotic SRP consists of a 300-nucleotide 7S RNA and six proteins: SRPs 72, 68, 54, 19, 14, and 9.
Source: Ensembl
GCCGGGCAUGGUGGCGUGCGCCUGUAAUCCCAUCUACUCAGGAGGCUGAGGCUGGAGAAUCCCUCGAACCCGGGAGGUGGAGGUUGCAGUGAGCCGAGAUGGCGCCACUGCACUUCAGCCUGGGUGACAGAGCGAGACCCAGUCUCAA